This 73-nucleotide transfer RNA is filed under the name Insectozyma chauliodis. RNAcentral describes it as "Candida chauliodis tRNA-Thr". It matches the Rfam family "tRNA". From Rfam's summary of the family: Transfer RNA (tRNA) molecules are approximately 80 nucleotides in length. The record is from RNAcentral. Lineage: Eukaryota; Fungi; Ascomycota; Pichiomycetes; Serinales; Debaryomycetaceae.
GUUAUAUUAGCUUAAUUGGUAAAGCACCCGUUUUGUAAUCGGGAGAGUGUGGGUUCGACUCCUACAUAUAGCA